ACCCGAUCGAGAAGCAAGGAAGAAUUUUAUAUACUGUAAAAUGGUGGACAUUUUUUGUCAAACCUACCUUUAUUGGAAGGUAAUAUGCUUUAUUUAAUAUCAAUCCUUGUAGUAAAGUACUUAGGUUACCAAUAUAGAUGAAAAUUUAGGACAACGAACCCGAAUUUAAUGUGAUAUUUCGACAUAAACUUUGUGCUUUUGCUUUGCACGUGGUUCGCUUUAUGGGCGAUUGUCGAAGUUUAAACCGUGUUUUAAUUCAUAAUUAUUGUCGACCAUGUGAGUUAAAAGAGUAACUGAGAUCUAGAAUUGUUUAAGUUGUCUAAAAAAGUUGUUAUCUCUGAGUUUUUGCCGAAACUUUUUAUAUUAAAUCAAUGCCGUAUUGGCAUACGGCCCGUAUGCCCGUAUUUUAAUAAAGGAUGAAUAUAAUUUAUUUCAUCAGCUUGCAUGUAUUAAAUAGGUUAGCACUUUUUUCCAUCCAGCAAACCGCUCUAUCGAUUUUCUAAAGUCUUUUUAAAUUUUUUUUAUUAAUUCGGUUAGGGUUAUAGUUAGGGUUGUGGUUAGGGUUAGGGUUAGGGGUUAGAGUAGGUGUAAGGUUUGGGUUAUGCACCUAUCAAUGUAAAUCCUGUGGGGGGGGGAGGCCGGGACUAGCGAGGGGAUUUGACAAAAAUGUGAGAAAACUAAUCAAAUGCCUGCAGGGGGGAGAAAAUUCCGGUCAAAUAAAGGUAACUUUCUGCAUAUUUUAAGCUUUUUAAAGGGUGACUUUUAGUGCCGAAUUUUACAUUUCUGCUCCGAAUUUGCGAUAAUCCCAACCGGAAAUACGACAAAAACUUGUCAAAACAAUGCCACGCUUAUAUCGCGUGACUCUGGAAAUGGAUUUUACAGGUCAAAGUUAGGCUUGGGCGGUUUACCGGUUUUUCGGGGUUUUUUUGUUUUAUUUUCAAACCGGUUUUUUCGGUUUAACUUUUACAAAAACCGGAAAACUGUCAUUACGAAAUUGUUUACUGUCAACGCCCGAAACUCGAUCCUAAUUUUCAAAACAUGACACUAAUUAAACACAAUUACAUGACACUAGAUACAAAUUAUAUUCUUUUUCCGUAAAGUCGGUAAGAACUAAAGAGGUAUAAGUUUUCAAAUGCGUUCUUGACCCUUUUAUUUUAAAACUGAAGUCGUUUUAGGUUACCUUUACACAAUUUUGCGUUUUGUCAUGUUCUGUUUGUUUGCUUAUGUCAAAAAAAUACCACAAUUCCUCCUCAUUCAGUUGAAAUAGAAAUUAAAGGGAAAAAACUGGUUUUACCGGUUUAGAAUCAGACGGUUUUUCGGUUUUGAUUUUAAGCAAAACUGCCCAAGCCUAGUUAAAGUGCACCCAUACAUGUGAGUUUGACGUCAUCCCGGCUAAAGGGCGCUCCUUAUUGGCCAAGUAUUACGUAAUACAAGUGCGUGCGAGUAAAACCCGAUACUUUAAAAAUUCAAAAUAAAUAUUUCUACUCGUUGUAUUCAUACAAAACUUUCUACACAAAAGCGCUUGAAUACAAAGAGUAUUUUACACAGUCAUAUAGCCUUUCAGAAAAUGACGAAAAGUUUAGAAGAUAUUCGACUUUUCUCUUUUUCUCGUUUGAAUGUUUGGCGAAGCAGUGAGUAUAAAUAUAUGAUUGUUUCGGUUUGUGUAAUGUUUUGACGGCACUUGACCCCCCGUUCGAAAGGUUAUUUUGUGAGGAUUACAAUGGUGGGUUUUGUUUUAACGGGGGGUAAAUACUCGCCGCGAUAUUUACAUUAGAAAAAUUGAAUUGUAAUGUAAUUCGAAACUACUUGUCGACAAGGAGUUAAAAACACCAAUUUACUUAUAAACAUUGAGCAAAGCAAGGGAAAAUCAUUUUUAAUAAUAUGAAUUGACAUGAACAUAAAGGUCAGUUCACACUGGAGGUGAUGCUACAAUGCGACGCUAUUUUCUGAUUUUCAUAAACAGAUAACUUUGAUUAAAUUUAAACUUGACAUUAAUACAAUUACGUAAAAACCACUGUAAAACCUUUGCAAACAGCACUUUCAACUACGCUCAGAGGACCACACUGGAUUUAAAUUUUACGCAUCACUGCUCAUGCGCAUUAAUAAGUUCAACCUGGAUGGAAAUUGAACUGCCCCGUCCUAGGGACAGGCAAGUUAGAAAAUGUCUCCGGGAGGGGAUGAGUUUUGUCAUCAAAUCCCCUAUAUUGUCCCAGCCUCUCCCACGGGGUUUACAUUGAUAUGUGUAUUAGUUAUAUAGCCAUUUAACACCUCUUCUAUCUUCCAAAAAUGACGUCAGCAGGGCUUUCCUCUGGGGCGCACGAUCGCACAUGCCCAGAUGAAUCUGGGCGUGUGAUUUAUCACACACAAAUUUGAUUUUUAAGGAUAAAUACAAUUUGACACGCAGUGAAUUAAGAUAUAAUGUAACAAAACCAAAUAUAAUUUGACACUUUAGAACUUUACAUUAUUUAACAGAGAGCGCAAUAUUAUCGGUAUUCUUCCAAAGUUAGGGUGUUUAUAAUUGAAGAUGGCCACCAAAGGCAAUAAGGUCGAUCUGGCAACUUUUAUGAAGUGGGGGGAAAUGGUGUUAUUGGCUAGAAGAAGAUCAACGCAAUGAAAAUGCUUUAUUUCAGCAUCCAAAAUGCAAAGGGCCUGUUAAGAAGUCAAUCAAAUUGUAUAUUGAGGGAACAAGCUUUGUGAACAAGCACAGUCAAUCGGCAUCUGGAGAGCAAAGGCCAUCGCAAUAGAAAGCAUGC
This 2753-nucleotide long non-coding RNA is filed under the name Paramuricea clavata. The record is from RNAcentral. Lineage: Eukaryota; Metazoa; Cnidaria; Anthozoa; Malacalcyonacea; Plexauridae.